This 457-nucleotide ribosomal RNA is filed under the name uncultured bacterium. RNAcentral describes it as "bacterial SSU rRNA". It matches the Rfam family "Bacterial small subunit ribosomal RNA", at positions 340 to 786 of the family's 1533-position model. The record is from RNAcentral.
UACGGAAGGCAGUAGUGGGGAAUAUUGCACAAUGGGCGAAAGCCUGAUGCAGCUAUGCCGCGUGUAUGAAGAAGGCCUUAGGGUUGUAAAGUACUUUCAUCGGGGAGGAAAAAACAAAACUAAUAAUUUUAUUUCUUGACGUUACCCGAAAAAGAAGCACCGGCUAACUCCGUGCCAGCAGCCGCGGUAAUACGGAGGGUGCUAGCGUUAAUCAGAAUUACUGGGCGUAAAGAGCACGUAGGUGGUUUUUUUAAAGUCAGAUGUGAAAUCCCUGGGCUUAACCUAGGAACUGCAUUUUGAAACUGAAAUACUAGAGUAUCGUAGAGGGAGGUAGAAUUCUAGGUGUAGCGGUGAAAUGCGUAGAUAUCUGGAGGAAUACCUGUGGCGAAAGCGGCCUCCUAAACGAAUACUGACACUGAGGUGCGAAAGCGUGGGGAGCAAACAGGGAUUAGAUACC